CUGAAGAGUUUGAUCAUGGCUCAGAUUGAACGCUGGCGGCAUGCUUAAUACAUGCAAGUCGAACGGUAACAGGUUCUUCGGAAUGCUGACGAGUGGCGGACGGGUGAGUAAAGCAUAGGAAUCUGCCCAUGUAGUGGGGGAUAACUUGGGGAAACUCAAGCUAAUACCGCAUAAUUCCUACGGGAUAAAGAGGGCCUCUACUUGUAAGCUCUUGCUAUUGGAUGAGCCUAUGUCGGAUUAGUUAGUUGGUGAGGUAAUGGCUCACCAAGACAGCGAUCCGUAGCUGGUUUGAGAGGAUGAUCAGCCACACUGGGACUGAGACACGGCCCAGACUCCUACGGGAGGCAGCAGUAGGGAGUAUUGGACAAUGGGCGCAAGCCUGAUCCAGCAAUGCCGCGUGUGUGAAGAAGGCCUGCGGGUUGUAAAGCACUUUCAAUUGGGAAGAAAGAUUUAGAGCUAAUACCUCUUAAUAUUGACGUUACCAAUAGAAGAAGCACCGGCUAACUCUGUGCCAGCAGCCGCGGUAAUACAGAGGGUGCGAGCGUUAAUCGGAAUUACUGGGCGUAAAGAGUACGUAGGUGGUUAAAUCAGUCGGAUGUGAAAGCCCCAGGCUUAACUUGGGAAUUGCAUUCGAUACUGUUUGACUAGAGUACAGUAGAGAGAAGCGGAAUUCCUAGUGUAGCGGUGAAAUGCGUAGAUAUUAGGAAGAACACCAGUGGCGAAGGCGGCUUCUUGGAUUGAUACUGACACUGAGGUACGAAAGCGUGGGGAGCAAACAGGAUUAGAUACCCUGGUAGUCCACGCCCUAAACGAUGAGAACUAGAUGUUGGAGGAAUUUAUAAUCCUUUAGUAUCGUAGCUAACGCGAUAAGUUCUCCGCCUGGGGAGUACGGCCGCAAGGUUAAAACUCAAAUGAAUUGACGGGGGCCCGCACAAGCGGUGGAGCAUGUGGUUUAAUUCGAUGCAACG
This 968-nucleotide ribosomal RNA is filed under the name uncultured organism. Its description in RNAcentral is "bacterial SSU rRNA". It matches the Rfam family "Bacterial small subunit ribosomal RNA", at positions 1 to 961 of the family's 1533-position model. The record is from RNAcentral.